CCGGCCCCAGGCUGGGCGAGCCCCCGCUGUGGGGAGGGUGAGGCCCUGGGCCAGCCCAGACAUUCUGGGAGCUUGUGACCGCAUGGGGUCAGAGGCAGGGGCAGGAGCCAGUCAUUUCUUCUAGCUUCCCUGGCGACCACACACCCUCACAUGGGUCCACCCCGGUGCCACUGCUAACCACUGGGCCUUCGGGAAGAAGGUUGGUGAAACCAAGGCAAGGCUGUGACUCAAGCUACAGCCCAAGCCCCUGCCAGCUCUGGCCCCGCUCCCUGUCCAUGGCUGGCCCCAGUUCCUAAAGCUCCUCAGCUCUGGAGUGGAGAUUUGCAUGCAGGGCCGGAUCCCCCCAGAGCGGAAGCAGGGCUGGACUGCAGUCCUCCCGGGAUCCCCGCUCCUGCAGCCCCACCGCCAGUGCCUACUCACAGGAUUUGGUUUCUUGGCACAGGGAUCGUAGCCUUGGUUGUGGCCCUGAUCAGAGAGGCAGGCUCCAUGGGGCAUUUCCCGGUCUCCUUCCUGGCCUUCAGCGGGCAGGCAGUUGGGAAGACUGGGAUCAACAGAGCUUGGGAGGCAGGUCCAUGUGGGCUCGCAGCCUGGCUCCUUCAUUUUCUAGCUUUGUGACCUAGGGAAAGCCACUUAACGUCUCUGCACCUCUCUCUUCCUCACAGCCCCAUGGAGUGGUUGCAGAAAUUAAAGAGAGAAUGCUUGUGAGCCCUGAACACCUGGCUUGGCAUGGGACAGGGGCUCAGGAAGGGAGAGCCCACUCUCUGUCCACCCCAGCGCGGCCCCGGACCCCGAGCUCAGGGCCCAGAAGUUUGCCUGUCCCGGCUUGUUUCUCCUCUCACCCAGGGAGGUGCUGGGCCCUAUGGGCCUUGGCUGGAGUUUGAAGAGUCAGAAGCAGUUGCACACAGUAGUUAGGGGUCCCUGAGUCUCAGGGCGGCAUGGGGUCUGGGCCAGCCAUCAAGCCAAGCUGGUCUAGGAAGGACGGCUGGGACCCACAGCAGUGGGGAGAAGUCUCUGCUCUUCAGGUCAUUCUCUGGCUGUACCUGAGCUGGUCUCGACUUGUAGACAGGUUUUGUUUGGUCUACAUGGGAUUAAGUAACCAGCCAAUACUUAGGGAUGAAGACAUUUCACGUGCAAGUGUAAAUUUUCAAUUUCCCUGAAAUAAUUAGGGAAGCUGGCCCUGCUGGGCUCACAUUUUUAUGUGGCAGCCGUGGGCAGGAACUGAGCAGCGGGGGCCUCUUCAGGCAGGACACGUGCCCCCCAGCUUACCGCAGUCUCCACCACUCCCUAUUGCACCGGUUCUCAACCUUGAGAAUGGGAGAAUCACAUGAAGGACUUGUUAAAACACAGAUUUCUGGGCCCUACCCCAGAGUUUCUGUUUCUGUGAGUCUGGGAUGGGCCUGAGAAUUUCUAACACGUUCCCAGGUGAUGCCGAUGCUGCUGGUCCAGGCACCCACUUUGAGAACCACCUGGUGCUGAGGCUGAUAUAUCAUUACACUUGGCCUGUUGCUUUUCUAUGAGGAGAGAAAUAUUUCUCUGUGUGCACAGCUCCAGCAAAAGUAGGAAAAUAAAAAAGGACAGUAUCAUUUAUUCUAGUAAAAGGGAGAAGUGUAUAUUUCUUUGUGGAUGGGAAGGCUAUUCCCUUGUGUUUAUAUGCAAGCAAUUUGCAUAUAUGUCAAAUAAACACAACUCAAGCUGCCACAGUGCUGUCUGCCCUGAGCACAACCUGGGGAACGUGCCGCGUGGCUGCUGUCUCUGCACUGGAUGCCUGCACCUGUCCAUCUCACUGGACUCGAUCUGCUUGGCCCUGCAGGUGUUUGAGGGUGUGACCCCUGCCGGUUCCACUGCCACAUGGUGUUAGGACAUGGAGACACAGAGUGGGUGAGACAGACCUCGUCCCGGUCCUCAUGGGCUCACAGACUGCUGGGACAGGCGGGUGAAACAAAUUGAACCCACACAUAAAAGAAGGAAUUACAAAGUAUAACAACCAGGGUGCUGAGAUGGAGAAUAAGGGGGUGUAUGGGGACCCCUUUUUAGUCGAGGUGGUCAAGGAAGCUUCUCUGUGGUCCCCAUCCUGUGGGGUGGGGUUGGGAGCAGAUGGCAUCUGGGCCAAGGCAGCUUGCAUCUCUGCCCUGGAAGAUGGAGCUAGGCUGAAAGUCAGGAGACCCCGGCUCGAGUCUUGGUUCCAGUAUCACUCCCCUCAGGGCUCCCCCAGCUCUAGAGUUUGCACCCCGCUUCAAAGCCCAGCUUGUGGCUCACCAAACCCAGGGAGCCUUCUUGACCUUCUGGCCCAUGCACGCGCAUGUGCGUGUACACCCUCUCUCAACCACUCUGCCCUCCAGCUCUGACUGCUGCCUCACCCUUUGGGGCGCAACAACACAGCGCCUCAUUGUUACUUAGUGGCUUCCUGAAGCCGCGGGUGUGUUCAGGAGGCCGUGCAGUUACUUGGUCUCUCCGGACCUCAGAACCUUCUGGGCCAUUGUGUCCUACUCUCGUGUGCAGAUGAGGAAAUGCAAUCCAGGGCUUUCAAUGCCCUCCACUUCCCGGCUCAUCACAGGGCAGGACUUUUCCUUCCUCUUGACUUUCCUGAGUCCAUCCUGAGGCCAAGCACAGAGCAGGGCGUGGGGGGCUCGAAACUGACACCUCUCAUAAUUCCAUCUCUAGAAUGGCUAACGAAUCUUGCCUGGUUGUGGCAAACCAGUGGCACAGUCUCCCCACAUUGUGCCCACAGCAGACAUCACUAAUCCAUCGUGACUCCUUCCCGUUGAGUCCACACAGUGCAUCAGAAUCCUUCUCGACCGAUCCUCUAGGAAGCUGAUGCCAAUGAAUCAGAAUUGACUCAUGGAAUGAAAUUUAUCAGCCACUCCUGGUUUUGCGGGGCUCAUCUGCCUCCUGAGAACAUCAAUAUAUUUGACAGAGCUGUGGUCACCAGGAGAAUGCACAGGACUGCUGAUGCUCGAAGCUCCCAACGGGGUUCCCGAAGAAUUGCCUGGGUAUCCAGCCCUGCUCUGUGCAGAGGCCUGGGCCAGGGGGUGGGCCUGGCUCCUGAGGCUCUGGCCUCAGGGCUGGAAGCCAGCAAACUGAGAUGAAGACAAGGGCCUCCCUGCCGGCCCCCCCACCACCGCCGGCUCUCACAGCCCCUGUUUAUCUUCUUCCUCCUCCUGGCCCAGUUCCCGAGCUCUGGAUGGGGCUGGGGUGUGGGUGCAGCUCUGUGGAUGGCGCUAUCUGUCAGGGUGUCCUGUCCAUCAGGGUGUCCCGCCCACCUGGUCUGCCUGUUCACACGCCCAUCACUGGUGCCUGGCCUUGGACGAGGGAUGACCGAUUGAAUGCAUGCACUUGUCUAGCUUGUCGUGCAUUCGUGCAUUGCUGAAUGUCUGUUGUCUCUGCUCCACCUUGAGCUCCGUGAAGACAGGGCUGAGGCUGGGGGCUCCAUGGCCAGCCUAUCCCAGCCUAGCAAUGGUGGUUCUGUGCACAUUGUGGAGGGACACUGAACUGAAGGGAAGGCCACAUCUUCCUCCUGUGCCCUUGGGGCUCUGUUGAGUCCCGGAUGUGGGCCACGAUGGGCCGUGGGCAGUUCUGGAGCUGGUGCCCCGGUUGUCCCUGAGAACGAUAGAGAAUGCUCACCAUUCCCCGCUGCCACGCCCUGUUCCCCACGCGCCGUGCCCGGAGCCCCCUUCCCUGCUCCAUUUCAGCCCAUUCGAGAUCCUCUUUGUCUAUUAAGGUUCAACUCCAGGGCCACCUCCUCCAGGAGGCUGUGCCUGAGAGGCCUCCUGCUGUCCUCUAGCCCUCGGCUCUCCCUCUGCUGUCCUCACGGGGCCUGUGGGCCACGUACUAGUGCCCCUGAAGGCUCUGGCCACCAUGCUUUCUGCAGGCCAUAAGGGCAGGGGAGGGGCUGCAGCCCUGGGCAAGGCCUCGCUGGGCCGUGUGAGCUGCUCCAGAGAUGUUUGGGAGAUGUCUGGCCCUGUCCCAGGGGCCCUGUCUCAGGGUCAGGGGGCGUUGCUUUUCUGCAAGGACAAGGGACCACAUCUGGGUCUUCCCCCUGCAGCAGAGCCCUCGCCGCCUCCAUGUGCGUGGGCCGCAGGUGUGCACAGACCUGGCCUCUUUCCUCUGCAAUGUUCGCUCCUUAGCUUCAGGCUCUGGCCAGGCUUUGGAGAUGGCAUGUGGUGUCGGGUCUGGGGUCUGCGCCCCCACUGGAUGUGAUGUGCGGGGUCUGUGGUGACUCGGCCUCUCGGAGUUUGUUUCCUCGGUGGCAAAAGAGGACAUCGGUUCCCAUCUCAUAAGGUUACUGUGGAAAUUACAGGUGCCAACGUGUGUAUUCCCUCCAGCUUCUCUCUGCCUAGAAGGUUCUCCCAUCUUCUUUGCCUAGACAGCUCCUAUUCAUCCUUCAGAAGAUCUGGGCUCAAUGUCACCUCCUCCAGGAAGCCCUCCCUGGACAGAAGUUCCAGUCAAGUUCCUCUGCUGUGGACUCCUGGGCUUCCCCGUGGUGCUUAUCUGUGUGUGAGAGUGUCUACUUAGAGACGCCUCCUCCAUUAGACUGGGAGCUCCGGGAGGGCAGGGGCCGCGCCUGCCCUGUUCUCCGCUGCAUCCCUGUGUCCUGCUCUUUGAGGCAAUCGGGGAAUGUUUGUUAAGUGAAUAACAAAUGUAAAGUGUCGCAUGCAGAGUGGAGACCCAGUACAUUUCAGCUCUUCUUACCAAAUGUGGCCCCCAGGGUCCACGUCAUCACUGCAUUUGGUGCUGUCGGACUGUCACAUGGUCAGAAAGCGCUGCACCCGGCCCUUGCCAGUCUGCCCUCCCCAGGGAAGUGCCUGCCCACGCUGCCCUCUCUGCACCGAUGCAGGGUAGGGGGAGGCCCAGUGAGGUGUGCCGGAGGCCUGAUCCCCCGGUGUUGGCCACUGCCCUGCUUGCCAGGGCCUGCCAGGAUCCGCCCCGGGCAUGGAGGGCAGGUAGGAAGUCCACAUCGGCACACAGCUGGCUGACAAUGAGGUCUUGGCUGCCCUGAGCCCAUAGCUAAGAAGGAGAGUCCGUGCCCACUGAGGUGACUGUGAGCUCAGCCUGGGCUUUUAGGGUCAUGUCCACACCCCAAACUGUGUCUGCCUUUUGAAUCCACUUCUUCUGACCGAAAGCCUGGUGCUCAUGUCUGCUCAUCAAACCAUCCAGGUCCUGGAUCUUCUAGGUCACUCCUCUGGGCCUCAGUUUUUUUCAUCUGUCAAAUGGGAAUAAAAGCCUUGUGAUAUGGUGGAAUUUUGAGGAGCCAAUGGAAGAACUUGCACUCAGAGCACUUUACAGUUUGUAGAAGCCUGUCACAUGUGUUCCCGACAUACUGAAGCAACCCUUCUCUGGAGAACUGGAGAUGAAUGGAUGCUGGGGAGAUGAGAUACUCACUCAAGAAAGUUCGGGGUGCUGUGCUGUGGGUGCAGCUCUGGGGGGCGCUGUUCAUGUGGAUGCAGUCUAUAUAGCGCCUCUUGUGAUAGAGCAGAGUGGCGGUGCCUUGGUCUGGGGCAGACAGACGGCUGACAGCGAGCUCUGCCCGGUGCUUGCAGGAGGCAGCGUGUGGAGCAGCGGUCCGCUCUGCACGGCCAUGCUUAACCUGGAACUCUCAAAUCAGUCACUUGUGUCCAGGGGGGUCCCCAAGUGCAGAGGAUAACAGCCUUGGAACCCUUUGCCCUGGGGCCUGGUCUGCUCAGUCUGAAGGAUGGACACACCUGCCUGGCCACCCACACGUGCUCAUACGUGUCCACACUGUGCACACGUGCACAGGCAUGGCACUCUAGACUGACCUCCUCUCUUGCAUGGACCUGAGGCAUCCGGGCCUUGCUCACAUAUCCCUGCUCCCUCUGCCCAGGGGCGGCUUGCAAGUAAGAAACAGCAGAGAGGAAAAGACCAGCCCUGCUCAGGGAGAAGAGAAAGUGGGCACCGGUUCCAGUUUUUUAAGGAGCUGGCUACGAGCCAGCCAGCAGGCAUCAGAGGAAGGCAGCUGACUGCACUCGGCCACAUCCUGAACGUGCCUGAAAAGGAAGGAGGAAGAAGUGCCAGACUGGGGGAAAGGCCUCUGACCUCACGUUCUUUGCUUAUGGAGUGGCCAGGGGGGAUUCAGUGACCUUUGAGACAGGGGACGACAUCCUCAAGUUCGGCUCAGACUCGGCAGCUGCAUCUGCAGAGGCUCAGGAGGUCAGAGCUGUGUCAGGAUCCGUGACCCCCACGUGAGCAAGGUGGCCCGGUGGGAGGCUUCCGUCACCGUGACGACUCUGAUGCUGAGCUACGGCAGCCCGACUUGAGUGGCGAGUCGAGAACGGUGUUCUAGGGCCUGCUUUUCCAAGUUCCCUCAUUGAGUUGAGGGUGGAGUCUGUAUCUCACCCAACCUCGAUUUUCCCCGUUUGUAAAAUGGGAGGCGCUAUAAGUAAUUGUCAAGGCAAGUGUGGGGUAAAGCCUUGAAAUGAGAGCACAUAAAGUUAUCCACCCACCCACACAUCCAUCCACCCACCCAUGCCUCCUUCCGUGCAUCCACCAAAUCUCAAGAGCCAGCUCUGAGCAGAUACUUGCAAACACCCAUGAGUCAGAAUUUCUCCUACUUCCGGGGACUCUCGGUUCCCGUGUGAGGGGGCUGUCUUGUGAAUAAAGGGGCCAGCAUUGGUUCAGUCUAGACCAUUUGGCAGGUUUCUUAAAGGAGACUCCCUUGGAGCUGGUUUGAUGUGAGAGUUUGCCUCGUGGAGGAGCAGGGGAACCGCGUCUCGGGCACAGGGAAUGGCAAAGGCCUACUGGGGCGUGGGGUACAGGCCUCCUGGCUCUGUGUUGUGGCUGAAAUUUGUCAGUAGCUGCAGCCGCAGCUGUGGGUGGGGGUUUCUGAGCUGGGCUGGGCAUGCUAACACAUCA
Microcebus murinus (gray mouse lemur) is the source of this 6867-nucleotide non-coding RNA. NCBI's taxonomy places the organism in Eukaryota, Metazoa, Chordata, Mammalia, Primates, Cheirogaleidae. The record is from RefSeq and is a predicted model, not a curated record.